UCUUAUCAGCACUGAGAAGGGUGAUUGCAUGGCAUAUGUCUCUCAAGGUGCUGAUCUUCAGCUAAAUGCAUAUUGUGCAUUCUCUAUUCACCCAUUUAUUUCAAAUACAUUUUUCCCCUUUCAUAAUUGAUGUGAGCUCCCUGAUAUCAACGACAAUAUCAGAUUCUAACCAUUUUCUGAUUUCAUAAUCAACUUAAAAGAUGGCUCCAUGUCAUGACUAUUGCUUCUGCAACAUGCUUUCUAUUUCCUGUGGCCAUGUGGGACAUGAUCAUAGGAUCACCUUCUGAUAACGGUAUGGAGUUUCCAUUCUCUGCUUGGGCUUUUCUGAGCACCAUUCUCUUCGAAGUUAUGAUGAUAUUCUAUGUUGACAGUAUUACAGAAGAAAUGUCAUGAAGAUUGCACGGGACAUUACUAAAAAAUCGUUUGCAGUUUAUACAUGAAAGAUGAAUUGCUUACCUAGAUGUCAGACGUUAUAAUAUUUAUGUAAAGAGUGGUGUUUAUAAAUUUGGUGAUUUUGGAUGUGUGCAAUUCUCACGAUAAGAGCUUGCCAAUGGAAUAGUGAUUUUGUAUAUUGUUCAAUUUAUAUAAAGAAUGUCUUUAAUUUGGUGUUGUUUAGAAUGUAUCUUUGA
Molecule: long non-coding RNA, 629 nt
Organism: Juglans microcarpa x Juglans regia
Lineage: Eukaryota; Viridiplantae; Streptophyta; Magnoliopsida; Fagales; Juglandaceae
Exons: 3
Source: RefSeq, a predicted model, not a curated record